GACGAACGCUGGCGGCGUGCUUAACACAUGCAAGUCGAACGGAAAGGCCCUGCUUGUAGGGUACUCGAGUGGCGAACGGGUGAGUAACAAGUGGGUGAUCUGCCCUGCACUUCGGGUUAAGCCAGGGAAACUGGGUCUAAUACCGGAUAGGAGCUAUUUUUAGCGUGAUGGUUGGAAAGUUUUUUGGGUUCAGGAUGAGUUCGAGGCCUAUCAGCUUGUUGGGGGGGUAAUGGCGUACCAAGGCGGCGGCGGGUAGCCGGACUGCGGGGGUGGACGGCCAUAUAGAGUCCGAGAGGCGGCCCAGAUACCGACGGGAGGCAGCAGGGGGGAAUACUGAACAAGGGGCGCAGGCCGGAUGCUGCGACGCCGCGUGGGGGAUGACGGCCUUCGUGUUGAAAACUCCUUGCGCUAGGGACGAAGCUUUUUGUGACGGUACCUAGAUAGGAAGCACCGGCUAACUACGUG
Molecule: ribosomal RNA, 465 nt
Filed under: uncultured bacterium
Lineage: Bacteria
Description: partial 16S ribosomal RNA
Rfam family: Bacterial small subunit ribosomal RNA
Source: RNAcentral